RNAcentral lists this ribosomal RNA (503 nucleotides) under uncultured bacterium. RNAcentral describes it as "partial 16S ribosomal RNA". It matches the Rfam family "Bacterial small subunit ribosomal RNA", at positions 30 to 523 of the family's 1533-position model. The record is from RNAcentral.
AUUGAACGCUGGCGGCAGGCUUAACACAUGCAAGUCGAGCGGGGUGAUGGUGCUUGCACUAUCACUUAGCGGCGGACGGGUGAGUAAUGCUUAGGAAUCUGCCUAUUAGUGGGGGACAACAUCUCGAAAGGGAUGCUAAUACCGCAUACGUCCUACGGGAGAAAGCAGGGGAUCACUUGUGACCUUGCGCUAAUAGAUGAGCCUAAGUCGGAUUAGCUAGUUGGUGGGGUAAGGGCCUACCAAGGCGACGAUCUGUAGCGGGUCUGAGAGGAUGAUCCACCACACUGGGACUGAGACACGGCCCAGACUCCUACGGGAGGCAGCAGUGGGGAAUAUUGGACAAUGGGGGGAACCCUGAUCCAGCCAUGCCGCGUGUGUGAAGAAGGCCUUAUGGUUGUAAAGCACUUUAAGCGAGGAGGAGGCUCUUUUGGUUAAUACCCAAGAUGAGUGGACGUUACUCGCAGAAUAAGCACCGGCUAACUCUGUGCCAGCCGCCGCCGUAA